ACGCACGCUGGCGGCGUGCUUAACACCUGCAAGUCGAACGGAAAGGCCCUGCUUUUGUGGGGUGCUCGAGUGGCGAACGGGUGAGUAACACGUGAGUAACCUGCCCUUGACUUUGGGAUAACUUCAGGAAACUGGGGCUAAUACCGGAUAGGAGCUCCUGCUGCAUGGUGGGGGUUGGAAAGUUUCGGCGGUUGGGGAUGGACUCGCGGCUUAUCAGCUUGUUGGUGGGGUAGUGGCUUACCAAGGCUUUGACGGGUAGCCGGCCUGAGAGGGUGACCGGCCACAUUGGGACUGAGAUACGGCCCUGACUCCUACGGGAGGCAGCAGUGGGGAAUAUUGCACAAUGGGCGGAAGCCUGAUGCAGCAACGCCGCGUGCGGGAUGACGGCCUUCGGGUUGUAAACCGCUUUCGCCUGUGACGAAGCGUGAGUGACGGUAAUGGGUAAAGAAGCACCGGCUAACUACGUG
Molecule: ribosomal RNA, 467 nt
Filed under: uncultured bacterium
Lineage: Bacteria
Description: partial 16S ribosomal RNA
Rfam family: Bacterial small subunit ribosomal RNA
Source: RNAcentral